Molecule: unclassified non-coding RNA, 814 nt
Filed under: Hevea brasiliensis (rubber tree)
Lineage: Eukaryota; Viridiplantae; Streptophyta; Magnoliopsida; Malpighiales; Euphorbiaceae
Source: RNAcentral
GGCCUUCCUCUUCUUCUCCUUUUCCCAUUUGCUUACUUUGUUUUUGAGUUUUUCUCCUUCUGUUGUUCUGGUUCUUGUUUUUCUCCUCUUUUUUAGCCCUUUUGAUUUCUGGGUUCCUUGUCUUUGUGGCUAAAAUCCAUCAAAGAUCCAAUCUUUUUUCACAAAUUCUGUUCCUUUUAACCUCUGAUUUCUGGGUUUUUGCUGAAACCCAUCAUAGAUCCAACCUUUUUCUGUUCUGAGUUGAAACCCAUCAAAGAUCUAACCUUUUCUCUUCUGGGUUUUUCAAUCUUUGUGGCUAAAAGAUCCAAUUUUUUUCUCCAUUUUUCCUGCUCUGUUUUCUGGGUUUUUACUCUUUUCUUGCUGAAACCCAUUAAAGAUCUGUGAAAAAAAGAAGCAAAAAUUAAUGCUAAUUAGAAAUAUUUAUUGAUGUACCAGAUUCAUGUCUCCAGUUCUUAGUGAAAUCCUUCGUUCUGGUUAUAUAAUCAGUUCAUCACUUAGACGCAGAACUCAUCUUGUUCAAUCUUUCUCUGUUUCUUUCCUCUACUGGUUUUACACUUUCUCAGAAUAUUAAAAAAAUAAUAAUCUUCAUCUAUAAUUUUGCUUAGCAUACCUUAAAAAACUUUAAAAUUAGUACUUCUCCCAUCAUCUGUACAUAAAAAAAAUGGCUACUUCUAGUGGUAAUUCAUCUCAGAUUCCAAACAAUUCAGCUUCUGAUGAAGUUUUCAUGGUGGUUGAUGAAAGGAAAAGAAAGAGAAUGCAAUCGAAUCGCGAAUCAGCAAGAAGAUCAAGAAUGAGAAAACAGAAACAUUUGGAU